UCCGUUGUAGUCUAAUUGGUUAGGAUACUCGGCUCUCACCCGAGCGGGUUCAAGUCCCGGCAACGGAA
This 68-nucleotide transfer RNA is filed under the name Marchantia polymorpha subsp. ruderalis. It matches the Rfam family "tRNA". From Rfam's summary of the family: Transfer RNA (tRNA) molecules are approximately 80 nucleotides in length. Their secondary structure includes four short double-helical elements and three loops (D, anti-codon, and T loops). Lineage: Eukaryota; Viridiplantae; Streptophyta; Marchantiopsida; Marchantiales; Marchantiaceae. The record is from Rfam by way of RNAcentral.